Molecule: ribosomal RNA, 536 nt
Filed under: Staphylococcus aureus
Lineage: Bacteria; Bacillati; Bacillota; Bacilli; Caryophanales; Staphylococcaceae
Description: bacterial SSU rRNA
Rfam family: Bacterial small subunit ribosomal RNA
Source: RNAcentral
GACGGUCUUGCUGUCACUUAUAGAUGGAUCCGCGCUGCAUUAGCUAGUUGGUAAGGUAACGGCUUACCAAGGCAACGAUGCAUAGCCGACCUGAGAGGGUGAUCGGCCACACUGGAACUGAGACACGGUCCAGACUCCUACGGGAGGCAGCAGUAGGGAAUCUUCCGCAAUGGGCGAAAGCCUGACGGAGCAACGCCGCGUGAGUGAUGAAGGUCUUCGGAUCGUAAAACUCUGUUAUUAGGGAAGAACAUAUGUGUAAGUAACUGUGCACAUCUUGACGGUACCUAAUCAGAAAGCCACGGCUAACUACGUGCCAGCAGCCGCGGUAAUACGUAGGUGGCAAGCGUUAUCCGGAAUUAUUGGGCGUAAAGCGCGCGUAGGCGGUUUUUUAAGUCUGAUGUGAAAGCCCACGGCUCAACCGUGGAGGGUCAUUGGAAACUGGAAAACUUGAGUGCAGAAGAGGAAAGUGGAAUUCCAUGUGUAGCGGUGAAAUGCGCAGAGAUAUGGAGGAACACCAGUGGCGAAGGCGACUUUCU